Molecule: long non-coding RNA, 367 nt
Organism: Dreissena polymorpha
Lineage: Eukaryota; Metazoa; Mollusca; Bivalvia; Myida; Dreissenidae
Exons: 3
Source: RefSeq, a predicted model, not a curated record
GGGACUCCGGGAGUGGAAUCCGACCCAUUUCGUGGGACAGAACAUGAGCGCUUAUAAAGGCGGGAUGACACAGGUUGAACAAAAUGAUGCGCUGAAAUAUUUCCGUGAAGGCAAACAUAAACUGAUAGUCGCAACGUCCGUCGCAGAGGAAGGGUUAGACAUAACUAAAUGUAACCUGGUCAUCCGUUACGACCAUGUGACCAACGAAAUCUCUAAAGUUCAGUCGAGAGGUCGAGGUAGGGCCGCAGACAGCUAAUAUGUGGUGAUAGCGGAGGAAAAUACAUCAAUGUCAGAGAAGGAGGAAUUGAACAUGAUCCGAGAGGUCACGAUGCGGCAUGCCAUCAUUCAACUGCAGGUGGGCAAGUCA